UGUUUACUAUCUGGCCCUCUAUAGAAAA
RNAcentral lists this non-coding RNA (28 nucleotides) under Mus musculus (house mouse). Lineage: Eukaryota; Metazoa; Chordata; Mammalia; Rodentia; Muridae. The record is from RNAcentral.